UCAUGUGUUUUCCUAUUUUAGAAUAUUAAUAUGGUGAACUAUAUUAUUAGAUUUUUUUAAAUAUUGAAACUGUCUUGCAUUUCUGGAAUAAACACGGCUUGGUCAUGUGUGUCACUUUUUUACAUAGUGUCGUAUUCAAGUUAUUGAGGAUUUUGCAUCUAGGGUAUACUUGUAGAUUUGCAGAUUUGCAUCUAGGUUAUGUUGGUCUAAAGUUUUGUUUGUUUUUUUUCCUUUUCUUUUUUUAUCAUCUUUGUCUUAUUCUGUUUAAGUGUCAUGCUUGCUUCAUAAAAUGAAUUGAGAAACAUUUCUUCCUCUUCUGUUUCUCGAAAAUUGUAGAGAACUCUUGUUUUUUGUUGUUGUUUGUUUGUUGUUUUGUUUUUUUCUUAUUUUUAUCCUCAUACUGAGAACCAAAUAGUCUGGAGUGUAAAAUAUGGUUCCUCAUUCCAGUUAAGUCUAGUACACAAUGACAACAACCAUCUUGGGUUAAGCAUUGGCCUACAAACAGAAAAAAACCUUCAGGGAGAUAGAUGCUGAUCUAGGCAUUGUGAGAAAAGCUGAAUUCAUUUUUAAUCAUGAAUGGCUUUUAAGGAAAGAAGAUUUAUUAACUAAAAUAAAUAGAUUAGAGGGAAUUCUCAUCUAUGAGAGAGGAAGGGAUGGGAUUCAACCUGGAAAAAAUGAUGAAGUUUUAGUGAACUGGGUAAGGUAGACUCAACAAUUAAUGAUGGAUAAUGCUAGGACCCAGCACCGGUAAUGAGCUUGUAUUAUGACUCAAUAGCAUCACUUUAUCACUUUAACGCAGAUGGAGGCCUAAAUAACCAUAGGGCAAUGGUUCUUCUUAGAUGCAGAAGGACACAUUUAUAUAAUCUUAGGGACCCCAUCUCUGAGGUCACUCAUAAUUUAUAUUAAUUCAUUAUUAUUGCCAUUGCCCCAAGAAUAGAUAAGGAUAAGACAUCCUGUAGCACAGGUAGCAGAGAUAUAAACUAUUCUUAUUCUUGUGUCUUGUCUAUAGGAAGGGAGUGUAUCCUGGUGUAUGACAGCAUAUAGUAGAGACCAGUGUCAAUUAGGGCCUGUGAACUGAGACAGGGUGACUGGCUAAGUCCACAACCCAUUAGAAACCCAGAAAUAAUCAAAUCAUGAGGGAUCAUGGAAAGGAAGCUGAAUUUGCUGAGUUUUGCCACGUGGGCAUUGCAUGCCUAUGUGAUUAACCACCAAUAAAAACCUGGGACAUCAAAAAAUAAAUAAGCUGCUUUAAUUGCCAAGAAUUCACAUGUGGUUGUAUGCAGCAUUACUGGGAGAUUGAAGUGUAUCUGCAUGUGAUUCUACUGUGAUGGACACUUGUAAAUUUGUGCCUGGAGUCUCCUGGAAUUUGCCCUGAGAAUCUUUUUCCUUUGUUGAUAAGAAUCUGCAUCCUUUUGUUUUAAUAAACGAUAAACAUGAGUAUAAUUGC
This 1447-nucleotide long non-coding RNA is filed under the name Homo sapiens (human). RNAcentral's name for it is "small nucleolar RNA host gene 27". The record is from RNAcentral. Lineage: Eukaryota; Metazoa; Chordata; Mammalia; Primates; Hominidae.